RNAcentral lists this unclassified non-coding RNA (299 nucleotides) under plant metagenome. Its description in RNAcentral is "partial contains 5.8S ribosomal RNA, internal transcribed spacer 2, and large subunit ribosomal RNA". The stretch from base 1 to 105 matches the Rfam family "5.8S ribosomal RNA", at positions 50 to 154 of the family's 154-position model. The record is from RNAcentral.
GAAAUGCGAUAAGUAAUGUGAAUUGCAGAAUUCAGUGAAUCAUCGAAUCUUUGAACGCACAUUUCGCCCCCUGGUAUUCCGGGGGGCAUGCCUGUUCGAGCGUCAUUUCACCACUCAAGCCUCGCUUGGUAUUGGGCGACGCGGUCCGCCGCGCGCCUCAAAUCGACCGGCUGGGUCUUUCGUCCCCUCAGCGUUGUGGAAACUAUUCGCUAAAGGGUGCCGCGGGAGGCCACGCCGUAAAACAACCCCAUUUCUAAGGUUGACCUCGGAUCAGGUAGGGAUACCCGCUGAACUUAAGC